UACGUUCCCGGGCCUUGUACACACCGCCCGUCAAGUCAUGAAAGUCGGUAACACCCGAAGCCGGUGGCCUAACCGUAAGGAAGGGAGCCGUCGAAGGUGGGAUCGGUGAUUAGGACU
Molecule: ribosomal RNA, 117 nt
Filed under: uncultured bacterium
Lineage: Bacteria
Description: partial 16S ribosomal RNA
Rfam family: Bacterial small subunit ribosomal RNA
Source: RNAcentral